This is a non-coding RNA of Pelobates cultripes (western spadefoot toad), 469 nucleotides long. The record is from the annotation of a GenBank genome assembly. Lineage: Eukaryota; Metazoa; Chordata; Amphibia; Anura; Pelobatidae.
AAUUGUUAAAGGGACACUAUAGUCACCUGAACAACUUUAGCUUAAUGAAGCAGUUUUGGUGUAUAGAACAUGCCCCUGCAGCCUCACUGCUCAAUCCUCUGCCAUUUAGGAGUUAAAUCCCUUUGUUUAUGAACCCUAGUCACACCUCCCUGCAUGUGACUUGCACAGCCUUCCAUAAACACUUCCUGUAAAGAGAGCCCUAUUUAGGCUUUCUUUAUUGCAAGUUCUGUUUAAUUAAGAUUUUCUUAUCCCCUGCUAUGUUAAUAGCUUGCUAGACCCUGCAAGAGCCUCCUGUAUGUGAUUAAAGUUCAAUUUAGAGAUUGAGAUACAAUUAUUUAAGGUAAAUUACAUCUGUUUGAAAGUGAAACCAGUUUUUUGUUUUUUUCAUGCAGGCUCUGUCAAUCAUAGCCAGGGGAGGUGUGGCUAGGGCUGCUUAAACAGUAACAAAGUGAUUUAACUCCUAAAUGAC